This is a long non-coding RNA of Aphis gossypii (cotton aphid), 1275 nucleotides long. RefSeq lists it as uncharacterized. The record is from RefSeq and is a predicted model, not a curated record. NCBI's taxonomy places the organism in Eukaryota, Metazoa, Arthropoda, Insecta, Hemiptera, Aphididae. The transcript has 3 exons.
UUGAUGAUUUUGGAGGACUUGCGGCGUUUUUGCUCAAGACGGCACAUUAGGUACAAUUACAUUAAAGAAUAUUAUAUCUAUUGAAUAAUUAAAUACUACUACCUAAUACUAGUACAAACUGAAGACAAGACUCGACUUAAUAAUACAGUAUAAUAAUAAUAAUAUUAUUAUGGUAAGUCAAAACCAUUGGUUGAGAUAGUAGUGAGAUAAAGGAAUAAUAUACGCCAAUACCGCGGUAUUGGGAAAACGAUUACCUAUUCAGUUAUAGCGCUAGCAGUCUUUCUAAAUAAGCCGCUAAAGUAGGAUUCAUUAUCUCGUUUUACGCGCGAAUAUAAUAUAGGAUUUUAAACCAUAUUAACGUGAAAUCCGUUUUUGGAGUGUACUAGUGAACGAUUAUUUACUGAACGAUUUUUGCGUUUUGAAAAAGCGUCACGUCGUAGGCGCCUAUUCUAAAAGCUGGGUAUUGAGUCAUAAAGAUAACAACGACGUACAUACACGAUACAUAAAUAUUAUCUCUAUCGUUCGAUAUUACUCAUCGUCAUUUAUCGAAGAAAUGUUCACGUUAAUUGUGAUAUUAUGUAAUAUGUGUUCACUCUACUAUCCAAUCAUUGUAAAUCGGUAGCAGACUUGUCUCAGAAAUAUUGUACUGCUGUGAUUUCUCAGUUUUUAUUUUUCACAGUCGGUACCUAUAGUAGGUACUGUAUAUUUAGUCAUCGGAAAUGUGUCUUCCGACGCCAAUUAAAGAGGAGAUAAAGAAGAAAAUUAAUCUCAGAAACUACAACGCGUUAGUUGCGUUGCAAUUAAUGAAGUUAUUCACAGAAAUGUUUAUCUACCUGAACCGUAUACAUUACUGGUCGUUCGUCCACCGAGGGAUCGAUUUGGGACUGACUGAAGAGGAAUGGAUAUUGCAAUUUCUAGGCCCCAAUGGUGAAGUCCCGUUUCUACACAGAGCGUUUAGCAACACGGGAUAUACUUCAUCGGAAGAUGAUGAUGACAUGAGUUGAUAUAACUACAUUUUAUAUACCAUUACUAGGUAUAUUAUAAUAAUUUAGAUUAUUUAGAAUCCAAUAGUCACGAUCUACAUUCAAUUAUAAUAAAUAAUAAUUAUAAUGUUCAAUGUUGACAUAUUACAGAAAAGCGUUUAUGAAUUAUAAAAUAAGUAUAGGUAGGUAGAAUUGUAAAAUUUAAGAUAAUUAUAAAUCAUAAUUGUAGUAUUAAUAUUCUAAACGUAAGCAAAUUGGAAUCAAUAUUGUUAUUUAUGUUUACAGAGAUAUA